RNAcentral lists this ribosomal RNA (547 nucleotides) under uncultured Geobacteraceae bacterium. RNAcentral describes it as "partial 16S ribosomal RNA". It matches the Rfam family "Bacterial small subunit ribosomal RNA", at positions 1 to 526 of the family's 1533-position model. The record is from RNAcentral. Lineage: Bacteria; Pseudomonadati; Thermodesulfobacteriota; Desulfuromonadia; Geobacterales; Geobacteraceae.
KSCCUUAGAGUUUGAUCCUGGYUCMKAACGAACGCUGGCGGCGUGCUUAACACAUGCAAGUCGAACGUGAUCCGGAGCUUGCUCCGGUGAAAGUGGCSCACGGGUGAGUAACGCGUGGAUAAUCUGCCCUGGUAUCKGGGAUAACMUCUSGRGAGGGGUGCUAAUACCGGAUAAGCCUACGGACUCUUCGGAGUCUGCAGGAAAAGGUGGCCUCUAUUUAUAAGCUAMCGUAUCASGAUGAGUCCGCGUACCRUUAGCUAGUUGGUGGGGUAAUGGCCCACCAAGGCUACKAUGGGUAGCUGGUCUGAGAGGAUGAUCAGCCMCACUGGAACUGAGACACGGUCCARACUCCUACGGGAGGCAGCAGUGGGGAAUUUUGCGCAAUGGGCGAAAGCCUGACGCAGCAAUGCCGCGUGAGUGAUGAAGGCCUUCGGGUCGUAAAGCUCUGUCAGAGGGGAAGAAACUCCUGUCGGUUAAUACCCGGCGGGCCUGACGGUACCCUCAAAGGAAGCACCGGCUAACUCCGUGCCAGCAGCCGCGGUAAUAC